UGCAGUCGAACGAGUUCUGAUUAUUGAAAGGUGCUUGCAUCUUGAUUUAAUUUUGAACGAGUGGCGGACGGGUGAGUAACACGUGGGUAACCUGCCCUUAAGUGGGGGAUAACAUUUGGAAACAGAUGCUAAUACCGCAUAAAUCCAAGAACCGCAUGGUUCUUGGCUGAAAGAUGGCGUAAGCUAUCGCUUUUGGAUGGACCCGCGGCGUAUUAGCUAGUUGGUGAGGUAACGGCUCACCAAGGCAAUGAUACGUAGCCGAACUGAGAGGUUGAUCGGCCACAUUGGGACUGAGACACGGCCCAAACUCCUACGGGAGGCAGCAGUAGGGAAUCUUCCACAAUGGACGCAAGUCUGAUGGAGCAACGCCGCGUGAGUGAAGAAGGCUUUCGGGUCGUAAAACUCUGUUGUUGGAGAAGAAUGGUCGGCAGAGUAACUGUUGUCGGCGUGACGGUAUCCAACCAGAAAGCCACGGCUAACUACGUGCCAGCAGCCGCGGUAAUACGUAGGUGGCAAGCGUUAUCCGGAUUUAUUGGGCGUAAAGCGAGCGCAGGCGGUUUUUUAAGUCUGAUGUGAAAGCCCUCGGCUUAACCGAGGAAGUGCAUCGGAAACUGGGAAACUUGAGUGCAGAAGAGGACAGUGGAACUCCAUGUGUAGCGGUGAAAUGCGUAGAUAUAUGGAAGAACACCAGUGGCGAAGGCGGCUGUCUGGUCUGUAACUGACGCUGAGGCUCGAAAGCAUGGGUAGCGAACAGGAUUAGAUACCCUGGUAGUCCAUGCCGUAAACGAUGAAUGCUAGGUGUUGGAGGGUUUCCGCCCUUCAGUGCCGCAGCUAACGCAUUAAGCAUUCCGCCUGGGGAGUACGACCGCAAGGUUGAAACUCAAAGGAAUUGACGGGGGCCGCACAAGCGGUGGAGCAUGUGGUUUAAUUCGAAGCAACGCGAAGAACCUUACCAGGUCUUGACAUCUUUUGAUCACCUGAGAGAUCAGGUUUCCCCUUCGGGGCAAAUGACAGGUGGUGCAUGGUUGUCGUCAGCUCGUGUCGUGAGAUGUUGGGUUAGU
This 1061-nucleotide ribosomal RNA is filed under the name Lacticaseibacillus sp. NCCP-2569. Its description in RNAcentral is "bacterial SSU rRNA". It matches the Rfam family "Bacterial small subunit ribosomal RNA", at positions 56 to 1084 of the family's 1533-position model. Lineage: Bacteria; Bacillati; Bacillota; Bacilli; Lactobacillales; Lactobacillaceae. The record is from RNAcentral.